This 7850-nucleotide long non-coding RNA is filed under the name Brassica napus (rape). Its description in RNAcentral is "long non-coding RNA (BNAP_LNC014738)". The stretch from base 6774 to 6844 matches the Rfam family "tRNA". Lineage: Eukaryota; Viridiplantae; Streptophyta; Magnoliopsida; Brassicales; Brassicaceae. The record is from RNAcentral.
AUACACACAACACAUAAAAAAAAGAGCAGGAGGUACAUAACCUAAUAAUAAUGAUAAUAAGCAACAAAGGAACAAAUCAUUUAUGUCAAACGAAGGAAAAAUCUCAGGGAUGUAACAAAAGCACCAUAUGUCACUGCUUCUGGAGGUGAAGAACCUUAACCCAAGCAGGCCUGGCAGUGAUCUUCUUGAUCCACUCCUUAACCUUAGGGCGAGACUCAAAGAGCUUCUUGGAGUCGGUACCCAUCAAGUAAUAGAUGAUUGGGAGGUGGUGAAGAUCAGCCAGAGUGAAGCAAUCACCAGCCAAGAAGGGUGAUUUGGAGAGCCUGGCCUCGUAGAUAUCCAAGACCUUCACCAACUUAGCUUCGAGGUCUUCCACAGCGGCAGGGUCAGUGGUCAUGCCAAGCAUGCCUUUGAAGACACGCUCGAAGGCUAGCUUAGAGGCGAUAGGGUCAAACUGUUGACCUUCAACUUGAAGCCAGACCUUUGUGGUGGCCUUGAGUUUCUUGCAGCCUUGGCAGAGAAGCUUCUCGCCUUUGUCGCUGUACUCCUCCGCUAUGUACUCUGUGAUGGCUCUUGACUCUGAAAAACAAAAAUGAAUUCAUGUGUAUCAUUGAUACUUAACCAACACGUAAUGAAAACAGAUUAAGAAAAAAAAGGAACUAACCGAAAAGCGUCAGAUCACCGUCUAGGAGAGCAGGGAUUUGACCGAAGGGCUAAAAAAAAGAAAAAGGAAAGAGCAGAGUGGUCAGAUAUGUGAAUGUGAUGAUGAAAACCAAAUUAACCAAAGCUGUGUAGAGAGUUAUUACGUACGUUGAGGGAGAUGAGAGGCUCCUGCUUGUGAGCACCGGCUUUCAUGUCGACGGGGACUAUCUCGAAAUCGAGGCCCUUCUCGUAAAGAGUAGCCAGAACGCGCAUUGUGGCCGUUGAUAUUGGAAGUCCGUGUACUUUGAUGCCGCCGCCCAUGCUUAUAAGCUUUUAAUUGGAUCUGAAGGGGUGAAUGGUGGUGCAUGGUGUUUUAUAGGUGGAGGAGGAGGCAAGGCAAGAGAAGAAUAAGUCGUUGUUGCCAUUCUUUUCGUUUGCACAAACUUCUCACCACCACAUCACCACGUCUCCUCUUCCUCCUCCUUCUCCCACUUUCUCUCUGUUUAUUUGUAACCUCUAUUUUUUUUUUUUAUCGUUUUAACCCAUUUGGUUUUGUAACUACAGAUUCAUAUACAUACAUAAAAUAAAUAAAGAAGUUAACGUUGGUUAUGCCCCCAUGCAUGUUUAAGAAAAGUAAUUUAAUAUUUCAUGCAUGGUAUCAGGUAUCAAUCCACCAAAUUUGUUUAACGAUGGUAACGUUUUAAAUUUGAUUUAUAUCCGAAUUUAACGUUUAGGAUGGUUAUACCUAAUAUCAGUCAACAAAAAGAUAAAAUAAAAUAGAUAGAUAGAUAUAUAUUAGCGCCUAUUCAAAUCACAAAACAACAAGUGUAGGUCGGUGUAUAUGGGGUACAUAAAAAAAAUAUGUGGUGGAGGCAUAUGUUGGGUAUAAUAAUUACACCAAUCAAAAGAGAGCAUAAUCUAACGAGGACCAUCCACGUAAUAAAAAAAUAUCGCAUUCAUUCCUUACUCUUUCAGUUGUACUUGUAUACAAACUCCUUUCUAAAUUUUAUAAUCGGGAUCGAUCUCUCUUUCUCUGAAACAUUUUGGAAACUUCUAGGUAAGGCUUCUUCAUUCCAAAGCAAGACCACAAUUUUUCUUCAUGGCCACCGGAGAGGAGAAACCUGUUAUGGUCGUCGGUAUCGACGAAAGCGAGCAGAGCACUUACGCCUUGGAGUGGACCCUCGAUCGUUUCUUCACUCCCUACGCUCCUAAUUUUCCUUUCAAGCUCUUCAUCGUCCACGCCAAACCUAACGCCGUCUCUGCCGUUGGUCUUGCUGGUCCCGGUACCCUCUUUUGAUUGACUAGCUAGGAACUGUCUUCUUCUAUCUAGGUUUCUCUGUUUCAGAUAUAUAUCAUUUGCGGUUUCUUUUUUCUUUUUAGGAGCUGCGGAGGUUCUGCCUUAUGUUGAUACCGAUUUGAAGCAUAUUGCUGCCAGGGUUAUCGAGAUGGCUAAAGGUAUCUGUCAGAGCAAAUCGGUAAGUAUUCACUCAUUAAUUCUUCGACUAUUUCAUAAAGGAUAAUUAUAAGAGAGCGUAUACAAUGAUGUUUCAAUGUUUGAUGAGCUAUAUUUGUUUUGAAUCUCUACAUCAUUCAAGCUUAGAUACUCCUUAUAGUUUUUUCCUUCUUUACUUUAUAAUUGAUCUUUUAUAUUUUUUUGUUUUUUUUUGUAAAAGUAAUUUAUCUAUUUUUAGUUACGUACUAGCUUCUUCUCAAUCAUUGAUUCUCUAGGUUUGUGCCGUGUAGGUUAAUGGCGCUAUGUUCGAAGUUUUUGAAGGUGAUGCAAGAAGUAUACUGUGCGAUGUUGUGGAUAAACAUCAUGCUUCUCUUCUUGUCGUGGGAAGCCAUGGUUAUGGAGCUAUCAAGAGGUAUAUAAUAUCUUUGUGUAUUUAAUUAUUAUAAUACUCACAAUCAUCAAUCUUGACUAUUUUUCUCGGCUUUAAUUCCCGACUCCUAUCACAGGGCGGUUCUAGGGAGCGUGAGCGACUACUGUGCUCAUCAUGCUCAUUGCUCGGUGAUGAUCGUGAAGAAGCCUAAGAUCAAGCACUGAUGAUCACCUAAACCCAAGCUGUUAUAUCAGUCAAAGCAAAGCAAAGUCUCAUCUGCAUAGUCGUCAGUUUCGGUGAAAUGAAAUAAAAUUGUGAAACGAUCCAAUCUAUAUAUUAAUAUUCGUGUGUAAAUUGGUUAUUGUAUUCAUAAACUAUUUUAUAUAUUGACGUUUGAUAAUACUAUUGUGGUUAUCUGCUUACCUACAAACAAGUAAACAAAAUAAGUUUUAAAAAACCUCAUAUGAGUGAGAAGACUGUUAUGGAUGAAUAUUGUUGGCUAAUGAUUCAGGGACAUGGAUAUAUCCGAAUAAAAUAAAAAAAAGAGAAGUGUUGAGACCAAUGUCAUUGUCUGGUUUUCAACAAGGGGAGGCAUGAUGACAUAUAUGUGAAAAAAGAUUAUUACCGCAUCGGCUUUCGAAAAGGCAGACUAAUUCGGAGAGAGAGAGAGAGCGACUGAGAUGAUUUUUGUUUGACAUUUUUCGAAAACGAGAUUUUUUUUGUUGUGUUCCGUCCGAUUGAGGCUUGGUGGAGACAUGGCCGGAGCUAAUGAUGAUGAUUAUGAUCGUAACAACCGCCGGAUUGCUAACUGAUAUAUUUCAAGGACAAAGCUAAUACCCAUUUCUGGGUAUGCAAAUAUGGCUAACCCACUAUAAAUACACAUUCUUGUUUUGAGUCCUGAGGCAUUCAUCACCUCUCUUCUUCUUCAUCCUUCUUCUAUAUUUUUUCUUUGGUUUAAGCUGGGAAAUGGAUGUACUGAAGUUUGAUUACAACCACAAGGGUGACAAUGCAUUAAAGGAGCUCGAGAGGAUCACCUCGAAGGCUGCUGAAGUCCAAGAUAAUAUGUUAAGUGGGAUCUUAGAAAGAAACAAGGACACACAGUACUUGAGAAAGUACAUGAAAGGCUCUAAGGACGUUAUGGAGUUUAAACGCUCUGUGCCAGUCAUCACGUACAAAGAUGUAUGUCCUUACAUUCAGAGAAUUGCAAAUGGAGAAGACUCUUCUCUGAUUACUGGUCAUCCUAUCACUGAGAUACUAUGCAGGUCGAUUUUUAUUUCUAGCCUGAAUCUCUUUCUUAGUAACAGCCUCCCCUUCCUUUGUGUUUGAAUAUAAAUUUGUGUAUGGCUAAAUAAAUGUAUCUGCUUGCUUUCAUGUUGCAGCUCAGGAACUUCUGGUGGAGAGCCGAAGCUAAUGCCAACCAUUUCGGAAGAUCUUGAUCGGCGCACCUUUGUCUACAAUCUUAUCAAUCCAAUCGCGAACAAGUUAGUACAAUGUUUCCUGUUAAUAUUCAGUCCUGAUAUACUUUAACAUCCUCCUUGUUGCUCUUAUAAGAGUAGUGAUUAGUGAAGAAGGAAUUACAUCUUCCAUGCACAUGAAUAUUUACUUGAUAAAAAACAAAGUGGCUGAUCUCAUAUUCCAUAAAAGAACCACUAGGACUGUUCCUGUAGUUGUAGGAUAGUGGAUAUGUCUCAAAAUCUGACCUAUGGAAGUGGAAGUACACAUCACAUCACAAUUCCUCCAUGUUAUUAUCCACUGGAAACAUUUAAUAAAAAAGGAAAAAAAUUAAAAAGGUUAACGAUAGGCUUCAAUGUGAAUAUGGCUUCAUAAUCAUUGUAGGCACUAACAUAUGGAAUCUGGAUACACAUGCAUAGAUGUACUGGCCGUGGUACCAAUAAAUCUUCAUAGUAGGUUGCUCACUAAGGAAGUUUGCUUUCUGCUUUGAGUUUUGUGUUUGCUUUUUGUGGAAAUUAAGUGGUAUCAUGUCAUGUACUAUAAAGUUUGCAUCCAUCAUCUUUUAUCCACACGCCAUUUUGAUGUCCCCACCCAAAGAUUCUCUGAGAAUUUUGAACAGCACUUACUAAACCUCAAGAAUCUUUUCAUAUCCACUACUGAUUUUUCUUUUCUUUCAUUUUACCUCUUUUACCAUCGUCUCUCUUUACUAUGUUUUUGACUGAGAUUUAUUAUAUGUAUUACUGACAGGUAUCUAGAAGGACUUGACAAAGGAAAAACAAUGUACCUAAACUUCGUCAAAGCUGAAACAUCAACUCCUUGUGGUUUACCAAUCAGAACUGUCCUCACUAGCUACUACAAGAGCAAACAUUUCCAGUGCCGACCUUACGAUCCAUUCAACGACUUAACCAGUCCCAUCCAAACCAUCCUUUGUGAAGACAGCAACCAAAGCAUGUACUGUCAGUUACUUGCCGCUCUUAUUCACCGUCACAAAGUCAUGCGUCUCGGAGCUGUCUUCGCUUCAGCCUUUCUCCGUGCAAUCUCUUAUCUCGAGCGAAAAUGGAGCCAGCUCUGCCAAGACAUCCGCACCGGCCAUCUCAGUCCCAUGAUCACCGAUCCAGGAUGCCAGACGGCUAUGACUUCUCUUCUAGCCUCGCCAAAUCCUGACUUAGCUGACGAGGUUGAAGAAAUCUGUGGACGCCCGUCGUGGAAAGGGAUUCUGUGUCAACUCUGGCCUCAAGCAAAGUUCAUUGAAGCAGUAGUGACAGGCUCAAUGGCUCAGUACAUACCAGCGCUUGAGUUCUUUAGCCAAGGCAAGAUUCCGUUGGUUUGUCCAAUGUAUGCUUCCUCCGAGACUUACUUUGGAGUCAACGUGAAGCCACUCUCCAAGCCAUCUGACGUCGUUUUCACGCUCUUGCCCAACAUGUGCUACUUCGAGUUCAUUCCUCUCGGCAAAAACGGAACUCUCUCUUUUGACGUAGAGGACGAAGAAGUCGUCCCCUGUGACAAAGUGGUUGACUUGGUCGACGUCAAACUCGGACGCUACUAUGAACUCGUCGUCACAACCUUCGCAGGUAAAGAAACUGGUGGCAUUGUCUUCUCCUUUUUAGUCAGCUCUGACUCUUGCAUGGAAACAGGAUUGUACCGUUACAGAAUCGGCGAUGUCCUUCAAGUGGCGGGGUUCUACAACAAAGCACCACAGUUCAGGUUUAUCUGCAGGAGAAACGUGGUUCUAAGCAUCGACUUAGACAAAACCAACGAGGAAGAUCUUCACAGGAGCAUCACGCUGGCCAAGAAGAAGCUUGAAAACAAGGCAUUCCUCGCGGAGUACACGAGCUACGCGGAUACUUCAUCAGUGCCAGGUCACUACGUGCUCUUCUGGGAGAUCCAAUGGCUCGAACCUGAUGAUGAGGAGGAGAAGCUGCUGAUGGAAGAGUGUUGCAUUGCGGUUGAGGAAGAGCUGGAUUACAUAUACAGGCAAUGCAGGAAGAGAGAUAGAUCGGUGGGGCCUUUAGAGAUAAGAGUGGUGAAGCCAGGGACGUUCGAGAAGCUGAUGGAUAUGAUAAUAAGCCAAGGAGGGUCGCUUAAUCAGUACAAAACGCCGAGAUGUGUUAAGUCCAACAGUGCUAUGCUCAAGCUCUUGGACGGCCACGUGACCGGUUCCUUCUCUAGCCCUCGUGAUCCAACCUGGUCCCCUUGAUGUCGAACGUAUGUAUUGAUCGGAGAGACUAUAAUUUACUAAUCAGUAUUCGGUAAUAACCAAAUGGGAUCGGAUUUGCUGUAAUGCUAGCAGUAGCAGGCAUGUAAUGCUACUACCUGAUUGAUUAAAAAAUGUUAUAAGAAACUUCAUUUACCGAGUUAUCUAUCUCUUAUAGUUCCUUUCAGUUUCUCGUCGCAUAAUAUAACUUUAGUACCGAGUUACUUAUAUCGUAUGAUUUACAAUAUAUUAAGGAAUUUUAAGACGAUCAUCAUCCUCAAGCCCUCUUGAAACAAAAGCUACUGUGGGAUUCUUUUUUUGUAUUCUCUGGCAUGGCUUCUGAGGAAGAGUUGUAUUCAUUGGGUGUUUGAAGUGUGUUUCCCGGCCCAAACAUAUAACACAAGAGUCCAAUCUGUUUAUCCAACUGUCGUUGGUUACAAAUUUAAUUACAUCAUCAUCCACUUUGUCGGCACUUAAUCUUAUCAGGAUCAUGGAUAAAUGCCAUGUGAUCUGUGAACAUGGCUUCUUAACGGACAGAAACCCCACGUACGCUGUCUCCCAAAACUUGAUUCGGAUAAUACUGAAAUGAAAAAGCAAUUAUUAUGAUUGUUUUUUGAUUUUUCUCUUGUGUUGAACAUAUAUAGUCAGCCAAAAGACAUGAAGCGCAUCUGGUGUAGUGGUAUCAUAGUACCCUCCCACGGUACUGACCAGGGUUCGAUUCCCUGGAUGCGCAUUUUUUUGUGCAAGAGUGUUCCGGUUUGGUUUGCAUAGGUUUUUUGGGCUUGGUUAAGGAUUAGUAGUGGAAACUGGCUUAGAUGCAUUCAGAUUAUCCAUCUCUUGGCCUAGAUUCCCAGUUAGUCUCUUAAACUUAUGCUCCUCUCUUUCCAUUUUCUUUAACUGGAAGGGAACCAAUUAAGAUCAUGAGCUCUUGUCUCAUUAAUUAGAAGGAAGAGGUCUUGUUAAGCCGAAAGGUCUAGAGUUCUACAAGAACUAAUAUAUUCAGUAUUGGAGGCUACAAAAAUGGGGGGUACAAAACCACCUGGUCGUUGUUCGGCCUGCUUCUCAGGGAACUCUUCCACUGAACCAUAUAUGGUAGCACAUAACUUGCUGCUUGCCCACGCCUCUGCUUCUAGACUAUAUAAGCAAAAGUACAAGGUAAUAUUUCAAAGUCCGGUAAUUGAAUAUGAUAAAGCUUAUUGUUUAGCUGCAUGAUCUCAGUUGUUUUAUUGCACAGCAUACACACAACACAUAAAAAAAAGAGCAGGAGGUACAUAACCUAAUAAUAAUGAUAAUAAGCAACAAAGGAACAAAUCAUUUAUGUCAAACGAAGGAAAAAUCUCAGGGAUGUAACAAAAGCACCAUAUGUCACUGCUUCUGGAGGUGAAGAACCUUAACCCAAGCAGGCCUGGCAGUGAUCUUCUUGAUCCACUCCUUAACCUUAGGGCGAGACUCAAAGAGCUUCUUGGAGUCGGUACCCAUCAAGUAAUAGAUGAUUGGGAGGUGGUGAAGAUCAGCCAGAGUGAAGCAAUCACCAGCCAAGAAGGGUGAUUUGGAGAGCCUGGCCUCGUAGAUAUCCAAGACCUUCACCAACUUAGCUUCGAGGUCUUCCACAGCGGCAGGGUCAGUGGUCAUGCCAAGCAUGCCUUUGAAGACACGCUCGAAGGCUAGCUUAGAGGCGAUAGGGUCAAACUGUUGACCUUCAACUUGAAGCCAGACCUUUGUGGUGGCCUUGAGUUUCU